UACGGGGGGGGUAAGCGUUGUUCGGAAUUACUGGGCGUAAAGGGCUCGUAGGCGGCCAACUAAGUCGGACGUGAAAUCCCUCAGCUUAACUGGGGAACUGCGUCCGAUACUGGAUGGCUUGGAUUCGGGAGAGGAAUGCGGAAUUCCAGGUGUAGCGGUGAAAUGCGUAGAUAUCUGGAGGAACACCGGUGGCGAAGGCGGCAUCCUGGACCAACACUGACACUGAGGAGCGAAAGCCAGGGGAGCAAACGGG
Molecule: ribosomal RNA, 253 nt
Filed under: uncultured bacterium
Lineage: Bacteria
Description: partial 16S ribosomal RNA
Rfam family: Bacterial small subunit ribosomal RNA
Source: RNAcentral